CGCGGCCUAUCAGCUUGUUGGUGAGGUAACGGCUCACCAAGGCGACGACGGGUAACCGGCCUGAGAGGGUGACCGGUCACACUGGGACUGAGACACGGCCCAGACUCCUACGGGAGGCAGCAGUGGGGAAUAUUGCACAAUGGGCGCAAGCCUGAUGCAGCAACGCCGCGUGAGGGAUGACGGCCUUCGGGUUGUAAACCUCUUUUAGCAGGGAAGAAGCGAAAGUGACGGUACCUGCAGAAAAAGCACCGGCUGACUACGUGCCAGCAGCCGCGGUAAUACGUAGGGUGCAAGCGUUGUCCGGAAUUAUUGGCCGUAAAGAGCUCGUAGGCGGUUUGUCACGUCUGCUGUGAAAAUCCAAGGCUCAACCUUGGACUUGCAGUGGGUACGGGCAGGCUAGAGUGCGGUAGGGGAGAUGGAAAUUCCUGGUGUAGCGGUGGAAUGCGCAGAUAUCAGGAGGAACACCAAUGGCGAAGGCACAUCUCUGGGCCGUAACUGACGCUGAGGAGCGAAAGCGUGGGGAGCGAACAGGAUUAGAUACCCUGGUAGUCCACGCCGUAAACGGUGGGUGCUAGCUGUGGGCCACAUUCCACGUGGUCCGUGACGAAGUUAACACAUUAAGCACCCCGCCUGGGGAGUACGG
This 643-nucleotide ribosomal RNA is filed under the name uncultured Actinomycetes bacterium. Its description in RNAcentral is "bacterial SSU rRNA". It matches the Rfam family "Bacterial small subunit ribosomal RNA", at positions 232 to 885 of the family's 1533-position model. Lineage: Bacteria; Bacillati; Actinomycetota; Actinomycetes. The record is from RNAcentral.